GGAGCGGUGGGUGAGUGGCUGAAACCAACGGUUUGCUAAACCGUCAUGCUGGGAAACCGGCAUCGAGGGUUCGAAUCCCUCCCGCUCCGCCA
Molecule: transfer RNA, 92 nt
Filed under: Phaeovibrio sulfidiphilus
Lineage: Bacteria; Pseudomonadati; Pseudomonadota; Alphaproteobacteria; Rhodospirillales; Rhodospirillaceae
Description: tRNA-Ser
Rfam family: tRNA
About the family: Transfer RNA (tRNA) molecules are approximately 80 nucleotides in length. Their secondary structure includes four short double-helical elements and three loops (D, anti-codon, and T loops). Further hydrogen bonds mediate the characteristic L-shaped molecular structure. tRNAs have two regions of fundamental functional importance: the anti-codon, which is responsible for specific mRNA codon recognition, and the 3' end, to which the tRNAs corresponding amino acid is attached (by aminoacyl-tRNA synthetases). tRNAs cope with the degeneracy of the genetic code in two manners: having more than one tRNA (with a specific anti-codon) for a particular amino acid; and 'wobble' base-pairing, i.e. permitting non-standard base-pairing at the 3rd anti-codon position.
Source: RNAcentral